Molecule: long non-coding RNA, 363 nt
Organism: Juglans microcarpa x Juglans regia
Lineage: Eukaryota; Viridiplantae; Streptophyta; Magnoliopsida; Fagales; Juglandaceae
Exons: 2
Source: RefSeq, a predicted model, not a curated record
UUUCAUCUCCCCAUUCGAAAUCUACUGUUCCCUGAGUCCACCUUCCCUCUUCUACAGCGACGAUCCUCCCUCCCUCUUCUGCAGCGACGACCCCGCGUGACGAGACCACCCUCCCGCAGCGUGCUUCAUCCCUCUCGACCACCCCGCGGAAGAUCGGCGGAAGAUCCACCACCUCUCGAUCACCCCUCCAGAGAUCUGCGCCCACAGAGGAGUUUUCCCCACUCGGAUCUGGUUUUGACAUUUGGUAAACAUUCAACCCAGAGAAUGAUGCUGGGGAGUUUGCAGAGUUUCUUUGGCCCUUCUCGAUUUUGCACCAGAGAAGCGACCAACUGCUCAGCAGUGUCUGCAACACCCAUGGCUCAA